RNAcentral lists this ribosomal RNA (498 nucleotides) under uncultured bacterium. Its description in RNAcentral is "partial 16S ribosomal RNA". It matches the Rfam family "Bacterial small subunit ribosomal RNA", at positions 28 to 507 of the family's 1533-position model. The record is from RNAcentral.
GACGAACGCUGGCGGCAUGCCUAACACAUGCAAGUCGAACGGAGAUUAUUUCGGUAAUCUUAGUGGCGAACGGGUGAGUAACGCGUGGGCAACCUGCCCUCUAGAUGGGGACAACAUCCCGAAAGGGGUGCUAAUACCGAAUGUGACAGCAAUCUCGCAUGAGGAUGCUGUGAAAGAUGGCCUCUAUUUAUAAGCUAUCGCUAGAGGAUGGGCCUGCGUCUGAUUAGCUAGUUGGUGGGGUAACGGCCUACCAAGGCGAUGAUCAGUAGCCGGUCUGAGAGGAUGAACGGCCACAUUGGGACUGAGACACGGCCCAGACUCCUACGGGAGGCAGCAGUGGGGAAUCUUCCGCAAUGGGCGAAAGCCUGACGGAGCAAUGCCGCGUGAGUGAUGAAGGAAUUCGUUCCGUAAAGCUCUUUUGUUUAUGACGAAUGUGCAGAUUGUGAACAAUGAUCUGUAAUGACGGUAGUAAACGAAUAAGCCACGGCUAACUACGUG